Molecule: long non-coding RNA, 603 nt
Filed under: Olea europaea subsp. europaea
Lineage: Eukaryota; Viridiplantae; Streptophyta; Magnoliopsida; Lamiales; Oleaceae
Source: RNAcentral
CUUAAAUACAACAUGAGCAACAAACAAUUUAGAUUUUCACCAUGCCAAGUCAAAUCACUCUUCUUAACCCAAACUUUCCGAGAGGUCAAGGUGAUCUUAGUCAAUUUUGUCAUCAUCUCAAUUAAGUGAAUGACCUAAUUGGAAAGUUCUACUCUUAUUCUCAAGCUUAUGACACCUAGACCUCGUGUGUCCCAAAGCUCCACGAUUAUGGGAAGUAUGUAUAAGCCUAGGUUCAAAGGCACGUGAUUGUUGAUAAUGAUUUUUAGGAGCGGGAUCUAACAUGCUCUAGUGGUCAUCUAUUUCGAGAUACAUUUGCCCUUGGGUUCAGGAUUAGCAUUAGUACCAGAUUUGUUAGAGGUAGGGACGAAUGUAGUCUUGUAUGAACUGGCCAUGUUACUAUCACUCUUAACAAAUCAUAGACAUCGCCUAUUCCCAAUUGCUUUGUUCAUUCCUAAUAGGUCUUCUAGUUUCUUAGUGCCAUUCAUGAACUACUGGAGUAGAGUAUUUGAUUUUUCUCUAAGUCACUAGUCAAUGUCUUAACCUUGUCUUUUAAUUUCGCAUUGACAUGCCUCAACUCACUACGGCUAUUGGACGAGUCCUGAA